RNAcentral lists this ribosomal RNA (406 nucleotides) under uncultured bacterium. RNAcentral's name for it is "partial 16S ribosomal RNA". It matches the Rfam family "Bacterial small subunit ribosomal RNA", at positions 30 to 526 of the family's 1533-position model. The record is from RNAcentral.
AUUGAACGCUGGCGGCAGGCUUAACACAUGCAAGUCGAGCGAGCGGCGGACGGGUGAGUAAUGUCUGGGAAACUGCCUGAUGGAGGGGGAUAACUACUGGAAACGGUAGCUAAUACAGCAUACCAUCGGAUGUGCCCAGAUGGGAAUAGCUAGUAGGUGGGGUAAAGGCUUACCUAGGCGACGAUCCCUACCUGGUCUGAGAGGAUGAACAGCCACACUGGAACUUAGACACGGUCCAGACUCCUACUGAAGGCAGCAGUGGUGGAUAUUGCACAAUGGGCGCAAGCCUGAUGCAGCCAUGCCGCGUGUGUGAAGAAGGCCUUCGGGUUGUAAAGCACUUGCAGCGAGGAGGCGUUACCCGCAGGAGGAGCACCGGCUAACUCCGUGCCAGCAGCCGCGGUAAUAC